AAAGGAUUGGAUUGUGCCGGGGAAAGACUAGGUGGCCUUGUGGCGGUGUCGGAUGAUACGGUGGAGGCACUGAAUUGUGGUGCUAGAUGAUGCAAUGGAGGUACCGAAUUAUAUUGUGGUGGUGCUAGAUGAUUUGGUGAAGGAGCUGAGUUAUACCGAGGUAGUUUCGGAUCUUCUCGCUGCAAGGGUAGCUCAAAUUGUGACAGCGGGGGAGGGUUAGACAACUCCCUCUUUUCUUUCCAAGUCUGCUGGACAGAGAUGAGUCUCUUUAGUAUCUCAAAGAGUCAAUCAGCAUCCUCUCGAAGCGAACCAUCUCAGGCUGCUCG
Molecule: long non-coding RNA, 326 nt
Filed under: Carica papaya (papaya)
Lineage: Eukaryota; Viridiplantae; Streptophyta; Magnoliopsida; Brassicales; Caricaceae
Description: long non-coding RNA (CPAP_LNC009243)
Source: RNAcentral